UGACAUCUGGAAUGGGGCAGGGCAAACAGAAGUAAAAACAGGCCAAAAGGUAUCUAUAGAGCAAGGAUAUACUCCCUGUAGUUCACACCAGCUAGCAGAAACUCGCCUGAGCUCACAUAAUUCAGCUGCGCCUACUGAGGUUGCGUGAAAUCAGAAUUACUCUCUUCAGUUUAAAAAAAAAAAAGUGUUAAAAAGAUCUCUGCUUCCUUCACCUGGCGGUGGUUACCUAGUCUCUUGCCUGUUUUCCAGAUUUCUCUGCAGCUUGUUUCAGCAAGAGUUCCAGAGCCAGAUCCACAGCUGCUACCACAGCUGGAAGCACGGAGCCUCCUGAGAAGCCAGUUGCAGACUCAGAUGCUGCUGUUUCCUGUUUAUUAUUAUAGUGUAAGUUCGCAUAUAAUUUACCAUGUUCACUGCAGAUGUAUUUAUUUUUAUUGGAUGUUCGUGCUAAAAUGUAUAUGCCUAUCAUUUGGUGAAUUCAUAAUACGAAGGUUGAUCUGUCUCUUUACAAAGGAAGACAUUUGUUAGAAACAGGCAACCUUUACCUGCAAGGAGAGGGAAAUACAAAGAAGAGAGGAGGUAAAGGAGAUUGAUUCUUCCAGAAACACAAUCUCCAAGCCAAGCCCAAAAUGUGUAAAUAAGUCCAGGAUUUCUUUCUGCACUUGAUUUAAAAAAUAAAAAUAUCAAAAAAUAGCUCUCACUUUAUCUGCUAUUCAAAGUGAAAGCCUAUAGUAUUCAUUAGUAAUUUUAAGAUGCCUAGAAAACACCACCAAAUUCCAAAAGUGAUUUCUCUAAAAACAGAACAAAACAGUUACUAUAAUGAAGGGGUCACUUAACCACUUCAGGUUUAAUACCUAUAUCCAUGUGGCAAUUAGUUACAUACUAGCAAACACAGUGUAUUGUUACCUCAUAAUUUCAUAUUAACAUUUCAUGUUUGAAUUUCCACUAAUACUUUCAAGAAAGAGGGACAAUUUUUAAUUACCGCAGGUAUCCUUUUUUAAAAAAUAAAUAUAUAUUAAAGAAAAAGCUAUUCUGGUCCAACAGUAGUAUUUUUUUUUACAGGCACAGAAAAAUUGAGUAAAAAUUGGUAAAAAGCUGUUCCUAAGAAAAAUCUCUCCUUUUAUAUAGUGCAGUCAUCCAGUAUGAUAGAAUUAUUAUAAUGGCUCCUACAUCAUUUUCUUAACCUGUACCCAGUACAGCAAAUGCCCAAAAUCCCACCAUGCUAGCAAUCUCUGAAUUCUCAAACUUCUCUCGGGGACUGUGACCAGCUGGCUUAAUACCGUGCAACCGUGUACUUGUUUACCAUUCACACAUUAAAAUGUUCUGCUUCCGAGGAAGUCUAUUAAAUGUUCGUCUACAUUUUGUUGUUCCCAUAGUCUCAAGUAUAGGCUCACUUAUAGUGACAUGAAGGUGUUAAGCUGGUUUUACUAACUUUCUAAAGCAGCAAUAAUGAUACAAAUCACCCUGUUACUUAUAUAAUUGUAACUAUGCUACAGAACAUAAUGUAGUCUAACAACGGUGGUUUAAAGCACUGCAAAAAAUAAAAAAAAAACGUGUAGUCCAGCCCUACAUACUCUAGAAUGUCAGAAAGCAUGAGGUUGGAGUUUCUGCCUGUAUUUGUAAAAUAUACACAGCUUUAAACUGCAUUGAUUUGUGCAAAACUGCAUUGUUAAGAGUUUAUCUCAUGGUACUUCCGAGUAUCCAGCCAAAUGACCUGAAUUAAGGUAUCUAAGAUGAACUGUAAAGAAAGGAAAAAUGGCAUUAUUGAACUGAAUUAAGAUCAAACUGUCUUGAUAAUCAGAAGUUUCGGAUAAUUAGAAUGUUUCUUUAUUAACAAAAUAAACUUUGUUAUUUCCAAAAUUACUUGAUAUAAAGUAUAUUAAAAGAAAACUGAUACAUUCUUUCACAUGUAUUUUUUUUCAAAAUAAAUGCAAAUAUAAAAAGCAGAAUGAAGAUAAGUAAAAUUGAAUCUUUAUUCUAUAACUUCUACGAUUUUGUCUUACCUUGUGUAUUAGCAUAGAUGUAAAACGAUAGUUAUUUCCUAUAAUCAACAAUUAUAGUACUUUUAACCUGUAACCUUUAUUAUACUGUAACAUAAAAGGUAUCAGUUGUACUAUUUUGAUAAUAUUGCAAUAUAAUUGUUUGUAUGGUAUCUAUCUGUCAUAGCAAAAAAUAUCGCUGUAUUUCAGCUGGUAUUGAAUUCUAUAGACACAUAUCAAUAUAUUCCAAUAUUCUUUUACGUAUUGUGAACUUAGCAUACUGCUCAUUCUUAAAAGUUACAAGACUAUAAACUAAGGAAUUAUAUACACCAGUUUAGAAUUAAUGUGUGAUUACAUGUGUUUUAAUUUAUGAAGCAGCAGCUUUGUAAGGAAAUGCUUCUAGAGUUAAAAGUUAUUUUACAGCAAACAUUUCCAUCUGUUUUUCUAACACUGAACCUCUAAACACUUGCAUACACAUUCACAUUUGCACAUGCAAAUAGCCCAAAUGGCCUCAAAAGGGCUCUUCACAUGAAUUUUUUUCAGGACUGGGACGUAAAUACAGUUUUUAAUUGCUGGAGAGGUGCUUUUUUGAUAUGUAUAAAAUAUUACUACCUUUCAGCUUCAUAUUCCCUGUUAAUUUUAUUAGGAUUCAGACAGUCAUAUACAGAACUGAAUGUUUCAGAGGGAGAUAGAUUAUUUCACUGUCACGGGAUAUACAGUAGGUACUGAAGUGCCAUUUCUGGAAAACAGGGACAGGAAAAUCCCUAUUUCCUUACUUGCACUUCUGUUGUAGCAACUGUGAUUUAUUUCCAUGUCUUUUUAAAUUUUGGAAUGCAUUAACUUUGAAGAAUCUCUUUUAACCAGAUUUAACUUCACUUCUCCACAUAUAUAUUUACAUUAAAAUUGCAUCUAUGGUAAAACACAAUCCAAGUGAUUACUUGCAACUAUCAUUUGCCACAUUUUUUUACCAAUCCUGGAUUGGUAAAAAAUCAAUUUUUAAUCACUGAAAAAGAUGUGGUACUUUUAACAGUACCUGAAUUAUGUAUUAAAAGAUGCAAUCCUAAAACCAGCAGUAUUUUGUGCCAUGUCACAUGCAAAAUAUGCAUAGUAGUCAUUAGCUGACCACAGUUUAUAACACUGAUUUGGCAGUGUCUUCACAGAAUGUGUCCCAGAUGUUAUUGUAAAGUUUUUAUGCACGUACAA
This is a long non-coding RNA of Anas platyrhynchos (mallard), 3179 nucleotides long. RefSeq lists it as uncharacterized. NCBI's taxonomy places the organism in Eukaryota, Metazoa, Chordata, Aves, Anseriformes, Anatidae. The record is from RefSeq and is a predicted model, not a curated record.